Oncorhynchus tshawytscha (Chinook salmon) is the source of this 1235-nucleotide long non-coding RNA. NCBI's taxonomy places the organism in Eukaryota, Metazoa, Chordata, Actinopteri, Salmoniformes, Salmonidae. The record is from Ensembl.
GGAGGCCCAGCUAUGAUAGUCAAAAUGUUUAUUCACGAGAGCGCUAGUCCGUUGCACAAAACCAUUCAUAUUAUACUGGCUCCUUACGCACUUACAUUCAAACACAAACAGUAGGUAUAAUACGCACAUACUGUAUCACCACCCAGCCGACAAAGAUUAGGGAGACCUUGGGAAGCACUCCCUGUCCUCCCUCAAGAUUAGGGAGACCGUAGGAAGCACUCCCUGUCCUCCCUCAAGAUUAGGGAGACCGUGGGAAGCACCCCGUGUCCUCCCUCAAGAUUAGGGAGACCGUGGGAAGCACUCCUUGUCUUCCCUCAAGAUUAGGGAGACCGUGGGAAGCACUCCUUGUCCUCCCUCAAGAUUAAGGAGACCGUGGGAAGCACUCCUUGUCCUCCCUCAAGAUUAGGAGGGACUUGAAGUACUCCCCGCCCUCUCCCAAAUCUCUCAUAGGCCCCUAGCAAGGUUAAUAAUGGUGAGAUGGAUGGUGGACAGGGUUAAUAAUGGUGAGUUGGAGGGUAGACAGGGUUAAUAAUGGUGAGUUGGAGGGUAGACAGGGUUAAUAAUGGUGAGUUGGAGGGUAGACAGGGUUAAUAAUGGUGAGUUGGAGGGUAGACAGUGUUAAUAAUGGUGAGUUGGAGGGUAGACAGGGUUAAUAAUGGUGAGUUGGAGGGUAGACAGGGUUAAUAAUGGUGAGUUGGAGGGUAGACAGGGUUAAUAAUGGUGAGUUGGAGGGUGGACAGGGUUAAUAAUGGUGAGUUGGAGGGUGGACAGGGUUAAUAAUGGUGAGUUGGAGGGUAGACAGGGUUAAUAAUGGUGAGUUGGAGGGUAGACAGGGUUAAUAAUGGUGAGUUGGAGGGUAGACAGGGUUAAUAAUGGUGAGUUGGAUGGUGGACAGGGUUAAUAAUGGUGAGUUGGAUGGUGGACAGGGUUAAUAAUGGUGAGUUGGAUGGUGGACAGGGUUAAUAAUGGUGAGUUGGAUGGUGGACAGGGUUAAUGGUGAGAUGGAUGGUGGACAGGGUUAAUAAUGGUGAGAUGGAGGGUGGACAGCGUUAAUAAUGGUGAGAUGGAUGGUGGACAGGGUUAAUAAUGGUGAGAUGGAUGGUGGACAGGGGUUGACAUGGUGAGUUGGAUGGUGGACAGGGUUGACCAUGGUGAGUUGGAUGGUGGACAGGGUUGACCAUGGUGAGUUGGAUGGUGGACAGGGUUGACCAUGGUGAGUUGGAUGGUGGACAGGG